This 373-nucleotide long non-coding RNA is filed under the name Cavia porcellus (domestic guinea pig). RNAcentral's name for it is "lncRNA (ENSCPOG00000036760.1)". The record is from RNAcentral. Lineage: Eukaryota; Metazoa; Chordata; Mammalia; Rodentia; Caviidae.
AACUGGGCCUGCUUCUGUUCGCAGGUGAGCAUGGCCGAGAAGGGGCCCCCAGCCUAUCCAGGGUCCCCGUUCCUGGGAGGCCCCAUGACGCACCCCAUGGACUGUGGGCCUCCGCCACCACCAACAUUCAGGCCUUGGCCAAUGCCUCCGCCGCCACCACUGACAUUCCGUACGCCUCCACUGGCUCAUUCCUUGCUGUGAGAGCUGUUGGAACUCUGGCUCCCUGGACUGGAGGUGCCAAGGCUUGCAGGCUGCGUCACUCCGGAGGAAGCCCGUGACCCCUGACCCACGGGUGACUUCUGGGCUCCAAGAGUGAGAGUUUACAAUACAAAUAACAAUUGUUUGACAUCAGGCUCUAUUAUUUUUCUUUUAC